GUAUGAAUCGCUUUCCCCGCCCCCCCGUACAGCCUUAGACGCCUACACUGUACACACACGCUCCCCACCCACCCUCCGCACCCCCUCCCCUUCCACGCCUCUCAGCCCCUCCAAACGACUCUGCUAAUAAAAUCCAAGCAACUUCUCCCGAAAACUUCCACAGUCCGGGAAGUGGCUCGCCGGGAUCUGUACCCGUAAGCUGCAAGAUUUACAUAAGCCAAGCCCCAUUCCUGACCUCUAAGGCGGCUCCUCUCCUCCAACCCCCGCCCUGUCCCCGCCCUGCCGAGAUGACCAAUGGGCGGGCCGGCUGCUGAAGGGGAAGUGACGUCACCAUGGCCGCCCACUUCGGGAGCCCACCAAGCCGAGAAUACAAGAAAUGAAGAUUCUGAAAAAGAAGCUGAUGACCAAGAUAAGGGAUAGAAAGAUGACUUGUUUGCUUGAAGAGAGAUACCAAUUACUUUAGGAACUAAGAAGAGAUAUCGCCAAUUUGGAAGAAACCACAUUAUAAAAUGUACCUUUUCCAUUUGAUGAAAAUAAAUCUGCAGCAGCAAGUCAAGUUAAAGCCCAAACAGAACACUGGAGGGAUCCUUUCCUGAGAAUCAACCUUACAGCCAACAACUACUCUCCACACGCCAAGACACAGAUCUGAUGGAAGAAAUCCCAGUUAUCAGCCUCCAAGGGUGAUUCAUUGAUAAGGAGACCAAUGCUUUGAUGGACACACAGUUUGGAGAGACCUUAACUCUUGCUCGUCUCAAUGUUCAUCCUCCACACACCAGCAUCAGGAGCAACUGGAAGAAGGCAACAUGUCAACCUGGUCAUUCUUUGCCACUAGAUGGACUGUACUAGGAUCUGAGGGCAUUAACUAUGCAGUGUUCUUGCUGAAACUGUUUAGCCUGAGUUUCAUCAUGAGGUAGUUAUCAGAUGACUGCAGAAUUUAGGCCAUUGAACAAGACAAGUGGCCUGUCUUUCUUCAAACAGUCAACAUCUCCACAAAUAAGACAACAAAAAGGAGAAUAGGUGUUUUGGAUUCCCAAGGACUAAAAAGAUUGUGUCAGUAUAUUUCUUUAGUCCUUUGGAACCCAAAACCUCUCCUCAGCUUUCUGUGGUUGUCUUCAAUGGUGGUGACAUUGACUUGCUUGCAGAGGACAGGUCAGUUGUCUGGCUCAAGGGUCUACAUUUUGCAGUUGUCUGAUCAUUUCCUCAAGGGUUCAGUUGAACCCUUUUUGCCAAGAACACCACUUACUGCAUGCUGUGUGCUUCCAAGCACAGCCCCUUUGGAGACUAAGAGUGUCCACUUUGCCUGUCACCACUACUGUCAUUUUAGCAUUGGACACUUUGUUAUGCAGGGGCCAUGAGAUCCGUUCACUGGAAAGACAGGUUUUCUGUCUAUAAUCAGUAACUUGAUUAGCGGUACUUUGAGAGUUUAUGAAUAUCUUGUUCCAUGAUGCUCGUUCUCUAAAUAUUUUACCAUCCCUUAUUGUUCCCUCAUGUAUGUCAAUUAUCAUACUUGUGUUUGUACCCUGGACAUUUUCUAAUUCAAUCAUUCUGUAAACUUGUAUUCCUGGCCUUGUGCUGUGGGAAAGACAAUCCAUACCCCUUCCAUAUCAUUAAAAGUGUUUUUGAGUUUCA
Molecule: long non-coding RNA, 1629 nt
Organism: Orcinus orca (killer whale)
Lineage: Eukaryota; Metazoa; Chordata; Mammalia; Artiodactyla; Delphinidae
Exons: 3
Source: RefSeq, a predicted model, not a curated record